This is a non-coding RNA of Leptonychotes weddellii (Weddell seal), 1197 nucleotides long. Lineage: Eukaryota; Metazoa; Chordata; Mammalia; Carnivora; Phocidae. The record is from RefSeq and is a predicted model, not a curated record.
AGUUCCUCUCCCCGCAAGCCCGCCGCCGAUUCCACGCCGCUCUGGCGUCCUGUUCCACCUCCAUGCUGAUCCUGUCCAACCUAGUGUUUCUCGGGGGCAGUCAAGUGGGGAAGAUCUACUGGAACAGGAUCUUCAUACAAGGCUGGCCAUAUGUGACCCUCUCUGUCCUGGGAUUCCUCUACUGCUACUCCCACGUGGGCAUCGCCUGGGCCCAGACAUACUCAGUGGACUAAUGCCGCCCGGCCGGCACCAGCCCUUCCUGCUGGCCUCCAAGGCAAAUGGUGCUUCACCCUGACCUCGCACACCAAGAUGACCUCCAAGGAACCAGUGCUUCAUCUGCCCAUCUUUUGUUGAAGUUACCUCACUCCAAGACUGGAAGCUUGAGCUCUCAUAGAAAAUUGACAACCAGUGAGGCUUCUAACUUUGGGGACCCAGAGCUCAUCUCCCCCAGCCCCAUCAUUUUCCUGUUGAGUAAGCAGGGGUCCAUAGCAGUAUUAUCUUGCCCAGCUGCACAUGGUGACAUUGUGGUCUAGAACCCAGUCCCAGGGGCCCUUCGGGUUCUUUCUACUUUACCAAGAAUUAAAUGCAAUAGACAUUUCUCAACUGGAGCACAGAAGCCCUGAUUAGUGAUAAGGCCUGUCCUCCACUGGCCAUAUUUCUGAAAUAUUUUGCUAACAUUUAAGUGACCUCUUCCCCAUGUCCUGCAGUGUGGUCUCUAGAACCAGCACUGAGGUCUGAGCUUCCCACUUCAGCUCCCUAGCAGGGAGGAGACAAAGCCACAGUCAAGUUUCUCAUUGCCCAGUCAAAGAAGACACAGCCUGUCAAAGAAGACACAACCUGUCCUAUAGUGUUCCAAGGGGCCAGUACCUAAGGAGAUCUGUUAUUGGAACACCGUCACUGUGAUCGACAUGUGGAUGCUUGUUCCCUAGAUUUGCAGAGAAGUAUAAACAUGGCAGUUCUUCUACCAGACAGUUAAUCUUCAUUUCUCAGUAAAGAAGCAGAAUUAAGGAACCAUGAGCUAGCGCGUCCACAGACAGGUGCUAUCAGGCAAGUGACAAAGGGUAGGGAUGGUUUCCUGGGGUCUUUUCUCCUCUCCACACAAGGAAGCCCCCAGCUUCCUGCUCACUGGUGUACACUCAGUGGUUUACAUUGUUUUGUUUUGUUUCAAAUAAAAUGGAGCCUUUUCUGUCACACUGA